AGCAUUAUACCGUGAAACUGCGAAUGGCUCAUUAAAUCAGUUAUCGUUUAUUUGAUAGUACCUUACUACUUGGACAACCGUGGUAAUUCUAGAGCUAAUACAUGCUGAAAACCCCGACUUCAGAAGGGGUGUAUUUAUUAGAUAAAAAACCAAUGCCCUUCGGGGCUCUUUGGUGAUUCAUAAUAACUUCUCAGAUCGCAUGGCCUUGCGCCGGCGACGGUUCAUUCAAAUUUCUGCCCUAUCAACUUUCGAUGGUAAGGUAUUGGCUUACCAUGGUUUCAACGGGUAACGGGGAAUUAGGGUUCGAUUCCGGAGAGGGAGCCUGAGAAACGGCUACCACAUCCAAGGAAGGCAGCAGGCGCGCAAAUUACCCAAUCCCGACACGGGGAGGUAGUGACAAUAAAUACUGAUACAGGGCUCUUUUGGGUCUUGUAAUUGGAAUGAGUACAAUUUAAACCUCUUAACGAGGAACAAUUGGAGGGCAAGUCUGGUGGACGUUCAGAUCCCAUCUGCUGACGCCAGAGAUAGCCGGGCAUCCUUUGCAAAAGGUGCUAUGCCGGCUGGUCGAGUACCUGUUAAUUGAUGGGGAGGUACCGGCAAGACAACCUGGAUCGGAAAAGGCUAAGGUACGGAAGUGCUAUGCCAAUCCCGAGCAGAGCUUCCAUGGAGCGAUUUGUGGAUGGCCUGUGUAGAGCGCGCAAAGGUGUCGGUCAGCUCACGUAGUUGGCUUAAGGGGACGUGCCAUUCCCAUCCGAAAGGGUGGCUGCCAGCAUAAGCGCCCAUCACGCAAGGGGUUGGCAGAUUUCAAACAAUUAGCCUGCACGAGUCUUGUGAGUAUCACGCGGGUUGAGAGUAGGUUACGGGAAAAAAAGUCCAUUGCCAGCAGUGGAGAAAAAAAACCCGUUCCAUCCUCCCUUCCUCCCCCCUUUCUGAACAGGAAGGUCAACGUGUGGAUCCAUCCUGCUCUACAGCUCAACUGUAAAUGUUUGAAAGUGUUAUUAAAAGGCCAGCAGCCGCGGUAAUUCCAGCUCCAAUAGCGUAUAUUAAAGUUGUUGCAGUUAAAAAGCUCGUAGUUGAAUCUUGGGCCUGGCUGGCAGGUCCGCCUCACCGCGUGUACUUGACCGGCCGGGCCUUCUCUUCUGGAGAACCUCAUGCCCUUCACUGGGCGUGUUGGGGACCAGGACUUUUACUUUGAAAAAAUUAGAGUGUUCAAAGCAGGCCUUUGCUCGAAUACGUUAGCAUGGAAUAAUAGAAUAGGACGUGCGGUCCUAUUUUGUUGGUUUCUAGGACCGCCGUAAUGAUUAAUAGGGACAGUCGGGGGCAUCAGUAUUCAAUUGUCAGAGGUGAAAUUCUUGGAUUUAUUGAAGACUAACUACUGCGAAAGCAUUUGCCAAGGAUGUUUUCAUUAAUCAGUGAACGAAAGUUAGGGGAUCGAAGACGAUCAGAUACCGUCGUAGUCUUAACCAUAAACUAUGCCGACUAGGGAUCGGGCGGUGUUUUAAUAAUGACUCGCUCGGCACCUUACGAGAAAUCAAAGUGUU
Molecule: ribosomal RNA, 1541 nt
Filed under: Pleomonodictys capensis
Lineage: Eukaryota; Fungi; Ascomycota; Dothideomycetes; Pleosporales; Pleomonodictydaceae
Description: bacterial SSU rRNA
Rfam family: Eukaryotic small subunit ribosomal RNA
Source: RNAcentral